Molecule: ribosomal RNA, 117 nt
Filed under: Lepisosteus oculatus (spotted gar)
Lineage: Eukaryota; Metazoa; Chordata; Actinopteri; Semionotiformes; Lepisosteidae
Source: RNAcentral
GCCAGUAACCAUAUCACCGUGCAGCUCUCAACUGGCUACCCACUGAAGCUAAGCUGAGUUGAGCCUGUUCAUUAGCUGGAUGGGAGACCUCCUGGGAAGCUAUGGUUGCUACUGGAA